CGUGGCGCAGCUUACACAUGCAGUCGAACGGAAUCUUCGGAUUUAGUGGCGGACGGGUGAGUAACGCGUGAGAAUCUAGCUCUAGGUCGGGGACAACCACUGGAAACGGUGGCUAAUACCGGAUGUGCCGAAAGGUGAAAGAUUUAUUGCCUAGAGAUGAGCUCGCGUCUGAUUAGCUAGUUGGUGUGGUAAGAGCGCACCAAGGCGACGAUCAGUAGCUGGUCUGAGAGGAUGAUCAGCCACACUGGGACUGAGACACGGCCCAGACUCCUACGGGAGGCAGCAGUGGGGAAUUUUCCGCAAUGGGCGAAAGCCUGACGGAGCAAUACCGCGUGAGGGAGGAAGGCUCUUGGGUUGUAAACCUCUUUUCUCAGGGAAUAAGAAAGUGAAGGUACCUGAGGAAUAAGCAUCGGCUAACUCCGUGCCAGCAGCCGCGGUAAUACGGAGGAUGCAAGCGUUAUCCGGAAUGAUUGGGCGUAAAGCGUCCGCAGGUGGCACUGUAAGUCUGCUGUUAAAGAGCAAGGCUCAACCUUGUAAAGGCAGUGGAAACUACAGAGCUAGAGUACGUUCGGGGCAGAGGGAAUUCCUGGUGUAGCGGUGAAUUGGCGGUAGAAAUA
RNAcentral lists this ribosomal RNA (617 nucleotides) under Anabaena sp. 798. RNAcentral's name for it is "bacterial SSU rRNA". It matches the Rfam family "Bacterial small subunit ribosomal RNA", at positions 38 to 698 of the family's 1533-position model. The record is from RNAcentral. Lineage: Bacteria; Bacillati; Cyanobacteriota; Cyanophyceae; Nostocales; Nostocaceae.